UACAGAGGUGGCAAGCGUUGUUCGGAUUUACUGGGCGUAAAGGGUGCGUAGGCGGCCCUGUGUGUCGGAUGUGAAAGCCCACCGCUUAACGGUGGAAAGUCAUUCGAAACUGCAGGGCUAGAGUACAGGAGGGGAGAGCGGAAUUCUUGGUGUAGCGGUGAAAUGCGUUGAUAUCAAGAGGAACACCGGUGGCGUAAGCGGCUCUCUGGAAUGAUACUGACGCUGAGGCACGAGAGCUAGGGGAGCAAACAGG
Molecule: ribosomal RNA, 253 nt
Filed under: uncultured bacterium
Lineage: Bacteria
Description: partial 16S ribosomal RNA
Rfam family: Bacterial small subunit ribosomal RNA
Source: RNAcentral